This 1030-nucleotide small RNA is filed under the name Arabidopsis thaliana (thale cress). RNAcentral's name for it is "ATSL047560". Lineage: Eukaryota; Viridiplantae; Streptophyta; Magnoliopsida; Brassicales; Brassicaceae. The record is from RNAcentral.
UUUUUUUUUGGUGAACCACAGGGAGAAUCUCCCUUUAUUUAUUGAAAGUUACAAAAAAUUAAAUAUAAAUCUGUCGAGGAAACGCAGUUCCUCGAGUCGUCCAACAAAAUCGAAGUUCCUCGAGUCGUCCAACAAAAUCGAAGCAACACAACUAGGAGUGACCUCUAGUAAAUGAAAACCCAACUGUAAAGUAAAAGCAUAGUUAACUAACCCAUCACCAAGACGGUUACCUUCCUUAUACACAUGAGAAAUGAAGACAUUCCAGUCCCUUUGAAAUGAAGCCAUGGCACAAACGUACCAUGUAGGACAGCGGAUGCGAAUCACUAAUCCCUGUCUUUAGAAUACCCACCACCAUCUCUAAAUCUAUCUCCAACUCUACAUGUGGUGCUCGUCUCUCCCAAGCUAAAUAGAGUGCAUAGUAAGCUCCCCACAGCUCCGCCAUCAGAGCGGAGCAAAUGCCUAUAUGAAGUGCAAAACCCACUAUCUAGCUUCCCGACUCGUCUCGUAUCACGCCCCCGGCUGCAGCUUUACCCGGGUUCUCCUGUGACGCCCUGUCAGAGUUAAUUUUCAGCUACCCACUCCCCGGAAACACCCACUUAAUCAAGCUCUCCACCCUUGCGGUACCCGAUUGUGCAUCUCUGAGCCCCGCAUAGGAAUCCAGCACUUCCUUGGCAAGAUCCUUCAGAAACUUAACUCUAUUCCGACAUCUACCAUUGCCGCCAAAAACAUUCCCACAUCUCCACUUCCAGCCCCACCAUAGAGCCAUACAGAAAAAUUGCUUUUGUGAUUGCUCUCUUACCAUCAAAAUAAUGCAUUUUGGAAAGCAUUAUGUUUGCUUUGAAGUAGGAGUGAACGAAGACUUGACUAAAUGGCGAGGAAGAAAAAUCUAUAAUCAUUCUUUUUUUUUUUUUUUUGAAUCUAAAAUCAUUCAUACUUAUCUCCCAUUUAAUAUUCCGAUCGUAAACCAAAAAAAAUGAUAUUGAAAUUUGCUUCAUAUGAUAUGAUAUAAUUAAGGACAGACACAAAUGAA